CAUUACCGAGUGCGGGCCCCUCGGGGCCCAACCUCCCACCCGUGUUGCCCGAACCUAUGUUGCCUCGGCGGGCCCCGCGCCCGCCGACGGCCCCCCUGAACGCUGUCUGAAGUUGCAGUCUGAGACCUAUAACGAAAUUAGUUAAAACUUUCAACAACGGAUCUCUUGGUUCCGGCAUCGAUGAAGAACGCAGCGAAAUGCGAUAACUAAUGUGAAUUGCAGAAUUCAGUGAAUCAUCGAGUCUUUGAACGCACAUUGCGCCCUCUGGUAUUCCGGAGGGCAUGCCUGUCCGAGCGUCAUUGCUGCCCUCAAGCCCGGCUUGUGUGUUGGGCCCCGUCCCCCCCGCCGGGGGGACGGGCCCGAAAGGCAGCGGCGGCACCGCGUCCGGUCCUCGAGCGUAUGGGGCUUCGUCACCCGCUCUAGUAGGCCCGGCCGGCGCCAGCCGACCCCCAACCUUUAAUUAUCUCAGGUUGACCUCGGAUCAGGUAGGGAUACCCGCUGAACUUAAGCAUAUCAAUAAGCGGAGGA
This 528-nucleotide ribosomal RNA is filed under the name Penicillium citrinum. RNAcentral describes it as "eukaryotic LSU rRNA". The stretch from base 146 to 299 matches the Rfam family "5.8S ribosomal RNA". Lineage: Eukaryota; Fungi; Ascomycota; Eurotiomycetes; Eurotiales; Aspergillaceae. The record is from RNAcentral.